UACAGAGGGUGCAAGCGUUAAUCGGAAUUACUGGGCGUAAAGCGUGCGUAGACGGUCAUGUAAGUCGGGUGUGAAAGCCCCGGGCUCAACCUGGGAAUUGCAUUCGAGACUGCAUGGCUAGGAUGCGGAAGAGGGAAGCGGAAUUUCCGGUGUAGCGGUGAAAUGCGCAGAUAUCAGGAGGAACACCGGUGGCGAAGGCGCCACUCUGGGCCGGUACUGACGCUGAGGAGCGAAAGCGUGGGUAGCAAACAGG
Molecule: ribosomal RNA, 253 nt
Filed under: uncultured bacterium
Lineage: Bacteria
Description: partial 16S ribosomal RNA
Rfam family: Bacterial small subunit ribosomal RNA
Source: RNAcentral